Molecule: ribosomal RNA, 893 nt
Filed under: uncultured bacterium
Lineage: Bacteria
Description: bacterial SSU rRNA
Rfam family: Bacterial small subunit ribosomal RNA
Source: RNAcentral
UAGAGUUUGAUCCUGGCUCAGAAUGAACGCUGGCGGUAGGCUUAACACAUGCAAGUCGGACGGUAGCAGGAGAAAAGCUUGCUUUUCUUGCUGACGAGUGGCGGACGGGUGAGUAACGCGUGGGAAUCUACCCUAUAGUUGGGGACAACAUGUGGAAACGCAUGCUAAUACCGAAUAUGCUCUACGGAGUAAAGCGGGGGACCUUCGGGCCUCGCGCUAUAGGAUGAGCCCGCGUAGGAUUAGCUAGUUGGUGAGGUAAUGGCUCACCAAGGCGACGAUCCUUAGCUGGUUUGAGAGGAUGAUCAGCCACACUGGGACUGAGACACGGCCCAGACUCCUACGGGAGGCAGCAGUGGGGAAUAUUGCACAAUGAGCGAAAGCUUGAUGCAGCCAUACCGCGUGUGUGAAGAAGGCCCGAGGGUUGUAAAGCACUUUCAGUUGGGAGGAAGGAUAGUAACUUAAUACGUUGCUAUUUUGACGUUACCUUCAGAGGAAGCACCGGCUAACUCUGUGCCAGCAGCCGCGGUAAUACAGAGGGUGCAAGCGUUAUUCGGAAUUACUGGGCGUAAAGCGCGCGUAGGUGGACCGUUAAGUCAGUUGUGAAAGCCCUGGGCUCAACCUAGGAACUGCAUCUGAUACUGGCGAUCUAGAGUCUAGUAGAGGGAAGGGGAAUUCCAGGUGUAGCAGUGAAAUGCGUAGAUAUCUGGAGGAACAUCAGUGGCGAAGGCGCCUUCCUGGACUAAGACUGACGCUGAGGCGCGAAAGCGUGGGUAGCGAACGGGAUUAGAUACCCCGGUAGUCCACGCCGUAAACGAUGUCAACUAGUUGUUGGUCUUAUUAAAAAGAUUAGUAACGAAGCUAACGCGAUAAGUUGACCGCCUGGGGAGUACGGU